Molecule: long non-coding RNA, 4331 nt
Organism: Labeo rohita (rohu)
Lineage: Eukaryota; Metazoa; Chordata; Actinopteri; Cypriniformes; Cyprinidae
Exons: 4
Source: RefSeq, a predicted model, not a curated record
GCUUUUCUUGAUUAUUUUCGACAAUAUUUACAGACUGUAUAACUGCUGGAUAAGAUCUGCGUACUGCAAGGCAGUCAUUCCAAGUCUGAUCCUGCGUUUCAGAGAUUUUCUUAAGAAGACACCAUGCUUUAAUCAACAGUGUAGGGAACAGACUGCAAACAGGAGCUGUGCGUGAUGGAUGGCUUCUUGACAAUAUGAGCUGCCCACUCACUAUAAUUGACUGGGGAGAUCACACCUUCAGCUUCUAACUUAAACAGUUCCCUGUUGACCGUAUCUCUCAAAGCAUAAGGGAUGAAUAACUUAACUGGAGUGCGUUUUGAAGACUUGGCCCCAGUCACUGGAUGUAGUUCAGGCCCAGCGUCUGUUGAUACAGCACUAUCUAAAAAGAAAGGCAAAUAUUAUUGACAAAUACACAAAUCCAGUACCAUCUGGACUUGGGAGACUUAUAACUCAGUGGUUUUUACUUCUCCAUGUAAGGGUUCAUCUAAGAACUGUCCAAACUUGCAAGUAACUGACAAUGAAAUUCAUCUGGGCACAUAAUGCAUUUUCAGCUGCUCAAUUAGCUCAAUUUCAGGUGUGCAUAAAUCCAUUAACAAACUAUGAAUACUUUUUUCAAUAACUGUCAGAAACACCACUUUCAUUUACUCAUCUGUGUCCUUUAAACCAUUUGCUUCAAAAUAUUGUUUGUUCCUUUCCAGAUAGGCAUCAAAUUGUUCCUCACUUUCAUUGAAGUGGAAAUCCUCAGGCUUUCCAAAAGCCAUUGUACAAGGGCCUUCUUGUUGUUACCCUUUCUGUUCACAGGCCUCAGAGUUACUCAUACUCAUAACGUUUCUGUACAGUAAAACAUCUCAUCUUCAUCCCCAAAAUUACUGUGCUGUCCAGAGGCAGUCAUGGUUUGUUUAGAGGUUUUACUGAAACACGGCACAGGAACAAAUGGUGGAAAAAUAAAAAGGUUUGCUUUAGAACUAUAACCCGCAUUAAACUUGUAAUCCUAAAGUGCAACGAGAUUGUAUCAGCUCUCUACCCCAUGCAUGUUCAACAGCCAAUCACAGGCUUUCAACAUUAUAGACAGCCAGUUACAGCUUGGAAAUUCCCUAAAACUAACAUAGCAUUCUUGUGAUCUAAACACCAAAACGCUCUUGGUAAACAAGCAAGACCCUUCGUCUUAUCUACCGAAAUGACACAGACUAAUGGUUACUUAGUCUGUGUAAUCCGGGUCAAUACAGAAAAAUUCCCAUCUCAUUUUCUCCUCCAACUUCAAAAUCCCUCUACAUCACUGUAGAAGUAUUGACCCAGUGUUUACAAAGUGAACAUGCAGUGAAGAACAAAUGCCAUUUACAAAAAAGGUAAAACCGAGAAAAUGACAUCGAAGUUUUUUGACAUACCCUAACUGUAUUGACCCGGAUUACACAGAAUACCCAUGCACAUCACAGAGCUAGACAAUUAUUCCAUUAUAUGGAGAAAAAUCCUGAAAUGUUUUCCUCAAGAAACAUAAUUUCUUUACAACUGAAGAAAGAAAGACAUGAACAUCUUGGAUGAAAAGGGGGUGAGUAAAUUAUCAGUGUUCUGGAAGUAAACUUCUCCUUUAAGCCCAGGGGCCCUUAGACCACUAAGUGAAUACAAACUACGGUGCUGGUGCUGACGCAGUAUCAUGUGCUUUCUGGGCUGCCCUAAAGCUAAAGUUCAGAGGCAGGCUAAUGUCACACAUACAAAUACUUGAACAAUGAUGAGAUGAUGAAUCAUUGAAGGCAAUGAGACAUACAAAAAUAAUCUAGCACAGUUCAAGCACAGUUCAUUUUGUUCAUUGGGGUAGACCAGUGUGAGACUAUGUUUCACCUAAGAACUGCUUUGUUGUACUCAAACUUGAAUCUGUACCUAAAAGAAAACUCCACUUCCAGACCACCAAUUUACAAAUAAUUUACUCACCCCCUUGUCAUCCACAAUGUUCAUGUCUUUCUUUCUUCAGUCUUAUGGAAAUUAUGUUUUUUGAGGAAAACAUUUCAACAUUUUUCCCCAUUUAAUAGAUUGCUAUGUUGCCCCAAAUUUGAACUUCCAAAAGGCAGUUUAAAUGCAACUUCAAACGAUCCCAAAUGCGGUUGUAAACUAUCCCAGCGGAGGAAGAAGGGUCUUAUCUAGCGAAACAAUUGGUUAUUUACAUUUAAAAAAAUACCAUUUAAAUAUCCUCCCUCCAUUCCCAUAAGUAAUGUUAUUUCUUAUUUAGGAAUUAAAAUAUAUGCAAAGUUAUCAGAAAUUAUUCAUAAAAAUUAUAGAGAAAUCUCUAAAAAGGUGACAGAAGAUUUACAGCAUUGGAAUACUCUCCCAAUGUCUUUACAAGGAAGAAUUUCCAUUGUUAAGAUGAACAUUCUUCCUCAUGUCAAUUUCUUGUUUUUCAUGAUUCCAAUGUCUCCUCCACCUAAGUUUCUUGAGGAAACCCAAUCUUUGAUCUCCAAAUUCAUAUGGAGCAAUAAAUGAGCUAUAAUUAAGUCUUCCACAUUGCAGCAUCCUAAACUGACGGGAGGGUUGUCUAUCCCUAACUUAAAACUAUAUUAUUGGGCAUUCCAAUUAAGAGCUUUGAGGGUCUGGAUGGACAAGAAUUGUAAGGUGCCAUGGAGACUGCACUGGCACAGCCUAAUAGGCUUCAAGAUCUUCCAUAUACAGAUUUAAAAGGUAAAAAACUUAAAGUUAAAUUUGGCACUAUAAUUGCAAAUUGUCUGGCAGUAUGGAAAAAAGCAGAGAAGAUGUUUGAAACAGUACCUAAAUUUUAUGAACUUUCCGCCCUAUGGAAUAAUAUUAAUAUACUGACAGGAAAAAAAAAACCUUUCACAUGGCCACUUUGGGCCUCUAAGGGAAUUUGCACACUGGGUUUAUAUGCAUUUCAUAAUUUACAGACUUUUUUUGACAUACCUGGUUACUCUUGUUUUCUUUAUUUGAGAUUGAGAUCAGGCAUGAAGGCUUAUGGAGUUCCAUGGAACACAUCACUACAUUCACACCCAAUGGCAAGAUUGUUUGAUCCUGCAAAAGAGUCUAGACGUCUGGUUUCACAAAUUUAUAACACUCUUUUAAAAACACAGUGUAAAAAGGGAUUUAGAAUAGGCUGGACUUCGUCCUGAUUGGCUUAUGGUAUGAUCAAAUAUGAGUGAAACAUCUCGAAAUUGGAGUCACCAAUUUAUUCAUUUUAAAACCAUCCAUAGGGCUUAGUCGACGCCAUAUAGACGAUACAGAAUGGGAUUAACGUCUGAUCCUAACUGCACUGUAUGUCGAACUCUGUUGUUGGUACAAUGUAUCAUAUGUUUUGGGAAUGUUCAGUAAUCAAUCAUUUUUGGAUUCAAGUUUGUCGGGACAGAUUAACUCCGGAUCCUUGCCUGUGCUUGCUGAAUUACGACUCUUCUUCGAACCUUGGCACAAUGGCCAAAAGGAUUAUUUUUUCAGGUUUCACUGCAGCAAAGAAAACAAUAAUUGAAGAGUUCAGAUGCAAAACCGGCUAAAAGCCAUGUCGGUCAAAAAUGAGAUAAUGAUACUGAGUGAAUGCUCUUGACACAUAUUAUACAUCGAUCAAAUACUUUUCUUCAAAUUCGCUGAAAUACCAGCCUCAGUCCAAUCAGAAAGACCAGUACUUACAUAGAAACCUAUACAUCUGAGCCUGAUAAAAAUGCAUUUUUUAAAGAAAGACGUCAGAUGGAUUUAGCUGGUUUUGCAUCUGAACUCUUCAGUUGCACUUUGGUGGGACACCAAGGCAGACACUUCUAGACUGUGGUUAUCGAAUAUGCAACAUAUAAUUAAUAUGGAAUGCUCUUUAGCUAAACUUAAUAAAGCCAAACCAAGAACAGUGCAGGCCUGGCAAAGAGUUGUAGAGUCUAUUUGUGACCGGUUCAUUGGGUAGUAAGAUGUAUAUCUUUAGAAUUGUGAAGUACUCAUAUCUAGGGUAUUACUAUGUCAUGUAAGUAUUCAUUGUGUUCACUGUUUUGUUCACUGGUUUUAUUUUGUAUGUUGUUCUUUUGAAAAUCUAAUAAAAAGAUAAUCAAAAAAAGAAAAAAAAACAUUUAAAUACGUUUUAUUCUCAAACGCUCGUCUUGCCUUGCAGUCCUUGAACUCUGUGUACUCUUGCUCAAGAUAGUUAGGGUAGAGAAAAACUCGUAUUUUCUUACUAAACUUCAAAAAUCAUUGAGGGAGAACAUGAGAUGGGAGUUUUCGACAUACCCUAACUGUCAUGAACAGGAACAAAAACAGUCCAGGCAGAGUAAGACAAGUUGAGCGUCUGGCAUUAAAAAGUAUACAAAUUGUAUUAUUUUUAUUAAAAUCUUCCUCGGCUGUUUACAACUGGAUUUGGGAUC